AGGCCUCAUACAUGCAAGUCGAACGAGAAAGUAUCUUCGGAUACGAGUACAGUGGCGGACGGGUGAGUAACACAUAGGAAUCUACCCAAUGGAGGGGGAUAGCUCGAGGAAACUCGAAUUAAUACCGCAUAAUCUCCACGGAGUAAAGAGGGCUUCGGCUCUUGCCAUCGGAUGAGCCUAUGCAGGAUUAGCUUGUUGGUGAGGUAAAAGCUCACCAAGGCAACGAUCCUUAGCUGGUUUGAGAGGAUGACCAGCCACAUCGGGACUGAGACACGGCCCGGACUUCUACGGAAGGCAGCAGUAGGGAAUAUUGGACAAUGAGCGAAAGCUUGAUCCAGCCAUGCCGCGUGUGCGAUGACGGCCUUCGGGUUGUAAAGCACUUUAGGUAACGAGGAAAAGUUAGGUGUUAAUACCAUCUAACCUUGACGUUAAUUACAGAAUAAGCACCGGCUAAAUCCG
Molecule: ribosomal RNA, 459 nt
Filed under: uncultured bacterium
Lineage: Bacteria
Description: bacterial SSU rRNA
Rfam family: Bacterial small subunit ribosomal RNA
Source: RNAcentral